This 588-nucleotide ribosomal RNA is filed under the name uncultured bacterium. RNAcentral describes it as "bacterial SSU rRNA". It matches the Rfam family "Bacterial small subunit ribosomal RNA", at positions 338 to 916 of the family's 1533-position model. The record is from RNAcentral.
CCUACGGGAGGCAGCAGUGGGGAAUAUUGCGCAAUGGGGGAAACCCUGACGCAGCGACGCCGCGUGAGCGAAGAAGGCCUUAGGGUUGUAAAGCUCUGUUUUAAGGGACGAAUGUCGUGGGGAGUAAUAUGCUCUGCGAAUGACGGUACCUUAAGAGGAAGCCCCGGCUAACUACGUGCCAGCAGCCGCGGUAAGACGUAGGGGGCGAGCGUUGUCCGGAAUUACUGGGCGUAAAGAGCACGUAGGCGGGAACUUAAGUCAGGUGUGAAAGACCGGGGCUCAACUCCGGGGUUGCACUUGAAACUGGGUUUCUUGAGGGCAGGAGAGGAAAGCAGAAUUCCUGGUGUAGCGGUGAAAUGCGUAGAAAUCAGGAGGAAUACCAGUGGCGAAGGCGGCUUUCUGGACUGACCCUGACGCUGAGGUGCGAAAGCGUGGGUAGCAAACAGGAUUAGAUACCCUGGUAGUCCACGCCGUAAACGAUGGAUACUAGGUGUGGGAGGUAUCGACCCCUUCCGUGCCGCAGCUAACGCAAUAAGUAUCCCGCCUGGGGAGUACGGUCGCAAGGCUAAAACUCAAAGGAAUUGACGG